This is a long non-coding RNA of Acipenser ruthenus (sterlet), 2144 nucleotides long. RefSeq lists it as uncharacterized. Lineage: Eukaryota; Metazoa; Chordata; Actinopteri; Acipenseriformes; Acipenseridae. The transcript has 3 exons. The record is from RefSeq and is a predicted model, not a curated record.
UCUGACCUGUCAUUACUUUCCUUCCACAGACCCUGUUCCAGAGCCUCAGGUUAUGCAGAUCCAUUCAGCUAACAGGAGCUGCAUUCUGCUGUGCUUUGUGGGAAACGCCAGUGAAGUGAACGUGUCCUGGAUGAGAGAUGGGAAGCCACUCCACACAACAGAACUGGAUCCCUGGCAAGAAACAGAAUCAGUUUCCGUUGUCUUCACCUGUGUGGCCAGCAACCCUGCCAGCAACAAGAGCAUCACUGUGACGCCUUCGGAUUACUGCGGUAAAAGAAACAGCAACAGAGAGGGUGAAACCACCACAAUAAGACCCUCCACUGAGCUCAUUGUGAGGGUGCUGGUGUUCAUAGUGCUGAGUGGAGUCGUGAUCGCAGUCUGUGUGAGUGUCUGGAAGAAGAUCAAUGCUAGCAGUGAAUGCAGGUGAACGUUAUACAGCAUUGUUAUAGCACAAGAUCUUAUAUAUGAAAGCUGUCUCUCCACUGAGCUCAUUGUGAGGGUGCUGGUGUUCAUAGUGCUGAGUGGAGUCGUGAUCGCAGUCUGUGUGAGUGUCUGGAAGAAGAUCAAUGCCAGCAGUGAAUGCAGGUGAACGUUAUACAGCAUUGUUAUAGCACAAGAUCUUAUAUAUGAAAGCUGUCUCUCCACUGAGCUCAUUGUGAGGGUGCUGGUGUUCAUAGUGCUGAGUGGAGUCGUGAUCGCAGUCUGUGUGAGUGUCUGGAAGAAGAUCAAUGCUAGCAGUGAAUGCAGGUGAACGUUAUACAGCAUUGUUAUAGCACAAGAUCUUAUAUAUGAAAGCUGUCUCUCCACUGAGCUCAUUGUGAGGGUGCUGGUGUUCAUAGUGCUGAGUGGAGUCGUGAUCGCAGUCUGUGUGAGUGUCUGGAAGAAGAUCAAUGCUAGCAGUGAAUGCAGGGUUGAUGUAAAUCGUCCUCAACUCAGCCAGCAGACAGACGAUAAACUUACCACUGUGUAUGAGGAAGUGCAGGCUGAGAGCUAGGGUCUCACCUGAACCUUGUAUUUGAGUCGUACUGUCGCCCUGGCUGUAAACCGCACCGUGUUUAAAUAUGAAGCCUGCGUUGUAACCCUGUCUGUGCUGCCCUGGGACUCCUGUGUGAGUCGCCUGGGACAAAGCAGGAGUCUGCCGAAUCUUAAUAUGUAAAGAAGAUAGUUUGUCUGUGUCUCUGUUUCUUUCUGCAUUCGGACCCUGCAGGAGCCAGCGCAGCCAAACUCUGCACAGACUCCUCUCUCAUCCAGGGGAAGGUCCAGGUUUAUUAAGUACACAAGAAACUCGAAUCAAGCAAGCGGCAUGUCGCUUAUUACGAGAUGUGAUCAUCUGGCAUCAGCUUGUACUUGCACUGAACUGCUCCAUACCUCGCUGUAUUCUACUGCUGCUCUUAAUUAUAUCUACUUCAUGAAUCUGGUUCUUGAUUUUACUCUUAUAGGUAACUGUGCUCAUGUUUUUUGUAAUUGUUCUUGGUUGAAAUCGUUCUCAUCCAUUCAUCGUACUCACUGCGUGCUCUUACUGGACUUUACUCAUAUAAGCAAACCUUUUCAAUAUAAGUUUAACUGCUCUCAGACGAACCCGCUCUUACAUGUAAUUAUUUACUGUGUGCUUUAGUUUGAUCUUAUUUGAAUGUCAUUAUACUUUCAUUACUGCUCUCAUCUGUAUUAGGAUAUUCUGUAAUAUGAGGUUUUAUGUGAUAACUUGUCAUGUGAUAUUUUAGGGCAGCAGUGUGGAGUAGCGGUUAGGGCUCUGGGCUCUUGACCGGAGGGUCGUGGGUUCAAUCCCAGGUGGGGGGACACUGCUGCUGUACCCUUGGGCAAGGUACUUUACCUAGAUUGCUCCAGUAAAAACCCAACUGUAUAAAUGGGGAAUUGUAUGUAAAAAUAAUAUGAUAUCUUGUAACAAUUGUAAGUCGCCCUGGAUAAGGGUGUCUGCUGAGAAAUAAAUAAUAAUAAUAUUUUAUAAUGUGAUAUUUUGUACUGUGGUAUUUUGUAACAAUUGUAAGUCGCCUUGGAUAAGGGCGUCUGCUAGGAAAUAAUAAUAAUAUAUAAAUGUGACACUGGCAUUUAAAAACAAAACGUAUGCAAAGUGGAAGGAAUGUGUAAAUGCAGGAGUGAGAACCCUUUCUCUUAACCAAGGUAUU